UUUCCUCUCUUUGUCCGAUUCAUCUCAUAUUCAUUGUUGUCUUGCCCUCUCCCUGGGUAGGGAAUCUUGGGAGAGGGCUAAAUCUGAUAAAUUUUACAUACACACAUAAAUUUCUAAAUUUUCAUAAACUGAAAAUUGUAAAGCUACUUUUUGUCGGGAUACGCGAGUGUUAUUUAAUUUAAUAACCAAUCUGGAAAUCUCUUCAAAACCAUAUUUUACAUAGACGGAGGGCAGACAUGUAUUUAUUUACAACUUUUCAUUUAAUGACGACAGAUGGUCGAGCUUUGUUGGAGUGCUGCCUAGUUUUAUUGUGAUCGGAUUUAAUGGCUUGGAUUGGAGAAUAUGUACAUAAGUAAAUUUACCCUCAAAAUCUCAGAGAGAUGAACUACAAGAUGUGACUGAUGUAAUUCCACAGAGUUACAAAACUUGAUCAGCAUCAUAAACAUCCACAGCAGAAGGAUCUGACACACAUCCGCAAUUUGUAUGCUGAACAGGACCUCAAGCACUUUGCAUGCGAAUGGACACGAUUUAUUGGCAACACAAAAUCCAUCAGUAAACAUUCCGCUAUAACAAAAUUGUGUCAUCAUCCCAUCAUCAAGUAAACAAUUCACUGCAUGUAUUAAAUUUUUCUACGCCAAUUCAGAUACAAGAUUAUUAAUAAGGAGAUUUUUAGACUCAUCUUGAGAUAAGUCUGUACAUAGUAAUAUCAACAAAUCGUAACUUUGGGGAAGUUUUUAUCCAAAAAAAAUGUUUUAUUAGUUUAGCUAGAAAUAGGUAUUUAGGGUGCAUUACAGCUUCAAAUUUGAUAAUAAUUCAUAUUUUAUUAAAAAUGAUGUUGGAUUGUGAGAAAUGUACAUAGAUGUGUACAUACAUACAUACAUAAUAUCUGAAGUAUGGGACAUUUGUCAUAGAUACAUACAUACAUAAAUCCCAUUUUAGUACUCUCAAACACAUCUUAGAUACAUGUCACUCUUUUCACGAACUUGAAAUGAAUGCCCUGAAUAUGUCUGUGAUCUCAACCUUUUCAAAAAUCGCUAACGUUAAUUGUAAUAACGUUAUGCAUUUACGAUUUAACAGUAUAUUAUAUUACAAAGAAAUCAAAGAAAAGAGAAGAAAAAGAAGAAGUAUCAAAGAAGUAUCAUUUACCUCUGUAAUGAUGGUGAAAGAGUUCUCGCCAACGUCCACACGAACAUUUUAGUAUCCGUGCUCAUUCAGGUAAAAUAAAAUGAUACUUUCACCCA
Folsomia candida is the source of this 1241-nucleotide long non-coding RNA. RefSeq lists it as uncharacterized. The record is from RefSeq and is a predicted model, not a curated record. The transcript is spliced from 4 exons. Lineage: Eukaryota; Metazoa; Arthropoda; Collembola; Entomobryomorpha; Isotomidae.